Molecule: long non-coding RNA, 317 nt
Filed under: Bos taurus (domestic cattle)
Lineage: Eukaryota; Metazoa; Chordata; Mammalia; Artiodactyla; Bovidae
Description: long non-coding RNA NONBTAT008987
Source: RNAcentral
AAGUUCUUAUCAGAGGGCAAGGCUCCAUUUUGUUGGCUUCUCUGAAAUAUUAUAUAAAUUUAAACAUUGAAUACUCACUCUGCUCUGCCAUUAUCAAAGAGCUAGAUCAUCUCAUGGUUUAGUAGGGAUUUUCAAAUUCGGAUGCUGUGGAAUCCUGGGAUAAUAUAAUUCAGUGUUGUUUUUUUUUUAAAGGAGGAGGGAGUUCUCAUUGACAGUAUCAAGGAUUGCAAUGUCGUAUACAGUAGAAAUGGCUGGCAUGAACUGUAGACACGAAUGAAUGUUGAUCUGAAGGUAAGCCUCUACAAGUCAAAGACGGA